GGAUGAACGCUAGCUACAGGCUUAACACAUGCAAGUCGAGGGGCAGCAUGGUCUUAGCUUGCUAAGACUGAUGGCGACCGGCGCACGGGUGAGUAACACGUAUCCAACCUACCGGUUAUUCCGGGAUAGCCUUUCGAAAGAAAGAUUAAUACCGGAUAGUAUAACGAGAAGGCAUCUUCUUGUUAUUAAAGAAUUUCGAUAACCGAUGGGGAUGCGUUCCAUUAGUUUGUUGGCGGGGUAACGGCCCACCAAGACAUCGAUGGAUAGGGGUUCUGAGAGGAAGGUCCCCCACAUUGGAACUGAGACACGGUCCAAACUCCUACGGGAGGCAGCAGUGAGGAAUAUUGGUCAAUGGACGAGAGUCUGAACCAGCCAAGUAGCGUGAAGGAUGACUGCCCUAUGGGUUGUAAACUUCUUUUAUAUGGGAAUAAAGUGAGCCACGUGUGGCUUUUUGUAUGUACCAUACGAAUAAGGAUCGGCUAACUCCGUGCCAGCAGCCGCGGUAAUACGGAGGAUCCGAGCGUUAUCCGGAUUUAUUGGGUUUAAAGGGAGCGUAGGCGGACUAUUAAGUCAGCUGUGAAAGUUUGCGGCUCAACCGUAAAAUUGCAGUUGAUACUGGUCGUCUUGAGUGCAGUAGAGGUAGGCGGAAUUCGUGGUGUAGCGGUGAAUGCUUAGCUAUCACGAAGAACUCCGAUUGCGAAGGCAGCUUACUGG
RNAcentral lists this ribosomal RNA (714 nucleotides) under uncultured Bacteroidales bacterium. Its description in RNAcentral is "bacterial SSU rRNA". It matches the Rfam family "Bacterial small subunit ribosomal RNA", at positions 27 to 732 of the family's 1533-position model. Lineage: Bacteria; Pseudomonadati; Bacteroidota; Bacteroidia; Bacteroidales. The record is from RNAcentral.